This 460-nucleotide ribosomal RNA is filed under the name uncultured bacterium. RNAcentral's name for it is "partial 16S ribosomal RNA". It matches the Rfam family "Bacterial small subunit ribosomal RNA", at positions 338 to 795 of the family's 1533-position model. The record is from RNAcentral.
CCUACGGGUGGCAGCAGUGAGGAAUAUUGGUCAAUGGGCGCUAGCCUGAACCAGCCAAGUAGCGUGAAGGAUGACUGCCCUAUGGGUUGUCAACUUCUUUUAUAUGGGAAUAAGGUGCAGUAUGUAUACUGCUUUGCAUGUACCUUAUGAAUAAGGAUCGGCUAACUCCGUGCCAGCAGCCGCGGUAAUACGGAGGAUCCGAGCGUUAUCCGGAUUGAUUGGGUUUAAAGGGAGCGUAGGCGGGUUGUUAAGUCAGUUGUGAAAGUUUGCGGCUCAACCGUAAAAUUGCAGUUGAUACUGGCAGCCUUGAGUACAGAAGAGGUAGGCGGAACUCGUGGUGUAGCGGUGAAAUGCUUAGAUAUCACGAAGAACUCCGAUUGCGAAGGCAGCCUGCUGGACUGUAACUGACGCUGAUGCUCGAAAGUGUGGGUAUCAAACAGGAUUAGAUACCCCUGUAGUC